GAUCCUGGCUCAGAAUCAACGCUGGCGGCGUGCCUAACACAUGCAAGUCGAACGAGAAAGUGGAGCAAUCCAUGAGUAAAGUGGCGACCGGGUGAGUAACACGUGACUACCUACCUCCGAGUGGGGAAUAACUCCGGGAAACCGGGGCUAAUACCGCAUAACAUCGCAAGAUCAAAGCAGCAAUGCGCUUGGAGAGGGGGUCGCGGCUGAUUAGCUAGUUGGUGAGGUAACGGCUCACCAAGGCGAAGAUCGGUAUCCGGCCUGAGAGGGCGCACGGACACACUGGAACUGAAACACGGUCCAGACUCCUACGGGAGGCA
RNAcentral lists this ribosomal RNA (320 nucleotides) under uncultured Acidobacteriota bacterium. RNAcentral describes it as "bacterial SSU rRNA". It matches the Rfam family "Bacterial small subunit ribosomal RNA", at positions 15 to 350 of the family's 1533-position model. Lineage: Bacteria; Pseudomonadati; Acidobacteriota. The record is from RNAcentral.